RNAcentral lists this ribosomal RNA (778 nucleotides) under Enterococcus casseliflavus. RNAcentral's name for it is "bacterial SSU rRNA". It matches the Rfam family "Bacterial small subunit ribosomal RNA", at positions 28 to 778 of the family's 1533-position model. Lineage: Bacteria; Bacillati; Bacillota; Bacilli; Lactobacillales; Enterococcaceae. The record is from RNAcentral.
GACGAACGCUGGCGGCGUGCCUAAUACAUGCAAGUCGAACGCUUUUUCUUUCACCGGAGCUUGCUCCACCGAAAGAAAAAGAGUGGCGAACGGGUGAGUAACACGUGGGUAACCUGCCCAUCAGAAGGGGAUAACACUUGGAAACAGGUGCUAAUACCGUAUAACACUAUUUUCCGCAUGGAAGAAAGUUGAAAGGCGCUUUUGCGUCACUGAUGGAUGGACCCGCGGUGCAUUAGCUAGUUGGUGAGGUAACGGCUCACCAAGGCAACGAUGCAUAGCCGACCUGAGAGGGUGAUCGGCCACACUGGGACUGAGACACGGCCCAGACUCCUACGGGAGGCAGCAGUAGGGAAUCUUCGGCAAUGGACGAAAGUCUGACCGAGCAACGCCGCGUGAGUGAAGAAGGUUUUCGGAUCGUAAAACUCUGUUGUUAGAGAAGAACAAGGAUGAGAGUAAAACGUUCAUCCCUUGACGGUAUCUAACCAGAAAGCCACGGCUAACUACGUGCCAGCAGCCGCGGUAAUACGUAGGUGGCAAGCGUUGUCCGGAUUUAUUGGGCGUAAAGCGAGCGCAGGCGGUUUCUUAAGUCUGAUGUGAAAGCCCCCGGCUCAACCGGGGAGGGUCAUUGGAAACUGGGAGACUUGAGUGCAGAAGAGGAGAGUGGAAUUCCAUGUGUAGCGGUGAAAUGCGUAGAUAUAUGGAGGAACACCAGUGGCGAAGGCGGCUCUCUGGUCUGUAACUGACGCUGAGGCUCGAAAGCGUGGGGAGCGAACAGGAU